GCUCACGUGACCGGCAGGGCGCUGACUUGGGCAGCAGCUCCCGCGCCCCCUUCCCCCCGCCCCGAGGUCUGGUCCAGUCGCCCGCGCGGAACCAGCUCCCGGAGCUGCCCGGGUGGCGGGCGAGGGGCCAGCGGGCUUAGGCGAGCCAGAGGAGGCGCAGGCCCGGCCCGGGCGCUGCAGGUCUGUGAGGCUGUUGUUCCCAGCAUUCUGCUAGGCUACAAAAAGAGGAGAAACUUGUUCAGAUCCCUGCAGGACAGG
This 258-nucleotide long non-coding RNA is filed under the name Monodon monoceros (narwhal). Its description in RNAcentral is "lncRNA (ENSMMNG00015011159.1)". The record is from RNAcentral. Lineage: Eukaryota; Metazoa; Chordata; Mammalia; Artiodactyla; Monodontidae.